This 253-nucleotide ribosomal RNA is filed under the name uncultured bacterium. RNAcentral's name for it is "partial 16S ribosomal RNA". It matches the Rfam family "Bacterial small subunit ribosomal RNA", at positions 524 to 776 of the family's 1533-position model. The record is from RNAcentral.
UACGAAGGGGGCUAGCGUUGCUCGGAAUUACUGGGCGUAAAGGGCGCGUAGGCGGGUCGUUUAGUUAGAGGUGAAAGCCCAGGGCUCAACCCUGGAAUUGCCUUUAAUACUGGCGGCCUUGAGUAUGGCAGAGGUGUGUGGAACUCCGAGUGUAGAGGUGAAAUUCGUAGAUAUUCGGAAGAACACCAGUGGCGAAGGCGACUCGCUGGACAAGUAUUGACGCUGAGGUGCGAAAGCGUGGGGAGCAAACAGG